UACGUAGGUGGCAAGCGUUGUCCGGAUUUAUUGGGUUUAAAGGGUGCGUAGGCGGUCUAUUAAGUCAGUUGUGAAAUACGGCAGCUCAACUGUCGAGGUGCAAUUGAUACUGAUGGACUUGAGUACUGAUGAGGUAAGCGGAAUGGACGGUGUAGCGGUGAAAUGCUUAGGUAUCGUCCAGAACACCGAUAGCGAAGGCAGCUUACUAAGGAGUAACUGACGCUGAGGCACGAAAGUGUGGGGAUCAAACAGG
This 253-nucleotide ribosomal RNA is filed under the name uncultured bacterium. Its description in RNAcentral is "partial 16S ribosomal RNA". It matches the Rfam family "Bacterial small subunit ribosomal RNA", at positions 524 to 776 of the family's 1533-position model. The record is from RNAcentral.